GGGCAAGCGUUAUCCGGAUUUACUGGGUGUAAAGGGAGCGUAGACGGUUGUGCAAGCCUGGAGUGAAAGGCGGGGGCCCAACCCCCGGACUGCUCUGGGAACUGUCUGGCUGGAGUGCAGGAGGGGUAAGUGGAAUUCCUAGUGUAGCGGUGAAAUGCGUAGAUAUUAGGAGGAACACCAGUGGCGAAGGCGGCUUACUGGACUGUAACUGACGUUGAGGCUCGAAAGCGUGGGGAGCAAA
Molecule: ribosomal RNA, 241 nt
Filed under: uncultured bacterium
Lineage: Bacteria
Description: partial 16S ribosomal RNA
Rfam family: Bacterial small subunit ribosomal RNA
Source: RNAcentral